Molecule: long non-coding RNA, 11496 nt
Organism: Gallus gallus (chicken)
Lineage: Eukaryota; Metazoa; Chordata; Aves; Galliformes; Phasianidae
Source: Ensembl
GUAAGAACCUCUCCUUGUAUUUAACCAAUGGACCUAUUAAUUUUCUAAUAAAGCACAACCCUUGGGUCACUUCAGGCCAUUUUUUGUGAUUUGCAUUGGAUGUUCUUCGAGACACAACAUUCAUCCAAUAAUAAUUAAAAUGAUAUACUGUACUAUUAACAUUCUCAAAUCUUUAAAGCAAAGUGAUCUAUCCCUGCAGCACUGGCUUUGCUGACUAAUUAAACAGAAUACAGUUGUAAAUGGCUAUUGUAAGCACUUCUCCCAUUUAAGAACACAGCUCUAGCAAGUGUAGUUCAUAGAGAUGGGUGAGUUAUCAGGAUUGAUCUGCCCUAAAGAGGUGGAUGUACCACAAACAGCAGGUUUCAUUUAAAUGCCCUCUCUGAGAUUAAUCUGUCUGCUAGCAGUUUGUUUACAAGGUUGCCUUUUCCCCUCCUACCAACUCUAUCAGCAGAGCAAUAAUAGUACUAUGCUAGUCAUAGACAGGAAAAAAAGAAUACUUACCGAGGUUAGUGGGGGAAAGAAAAAGAGUUACAGUGCAUUGUGUCUGCGCAUCAUGUUUUCCUGAAUAUGAGUCAGCAAAAACUGGAACAGAAACAUCACUGUGAAGAAGCAGGAGCAGCAACAGCAUUACUCUAUUCCACCCAGCAACAACACAGUGAAUCCCAAUCACUGAGAAGUGAAGGGCUGACUUCACCCCCUCCUCCCCCCCCAUCCCUUCCUUAUUAAGAGGAUAUUCCUCCCUAGUAUUGAGCUUUGAUGUCAUCUUUGAGCAUCAAAAUGAAAACCGGGAUUGGAUGACAUUAUUUUUUACCACAGAUCCAAACAUCCCUGAUUCACUCAAUAUAUGGGGAUGAUACAAAUGGCUCAUCCUACCUCUGUCAAACAGCAAGGAGCAAAUACAGCUCCCAGAAGAGUGGAGGGCAUUCUGGACUCCAAUGCAUAUGUGCUCUUCUUCAGAGAAAACAAACUUAGAUAAACUUUAGAUGCAUGAACCCAAGAUGAAACAAGCUUUUGGCACCAACUGAAUGCUGAGCAUAAAGGCAGCCAGAAGGUGUAGAUUUAAAUGUCUAAUAUACACUUAUAUUUAAUUAUGCUGACCUAAUCUUUCAGGGAAAAAAGAAAAAAAAAACAACAACUCUGCAAUCAACUUAAAUAUCCAAUAAAAUAGUAAACUUCAUCUGCACCUUUGAUGUUUAGAAAAGCUACCUUCAGCAUCUUCUCCCACUUGUAAUGCCAGGAACAAAAUUCAAAAAAUAUCUAUCUGCAACUACUUUUGAGAAUCUGCCACAGGGCUUACACUGCCCUGAGGCUUUCUCUACUUUAUUCUCUUAAUAUGAAUAAAAGAAAGAACCAACCCAAAAUACUACCUAGAAUCUUCCUGGAGAUGGGAAAGAAUAAGGGUAGAUUCUAUCUCCACUUCUAUAUACAAUAGAACACAGAUAAUUAUUAUUUUUUUUUAAAUGUUUCAUCUGACUAUCUCUCUCUCUAAUUAAUCUGUUAAAUGAGAUAUAAUUCCAAGGUGGAACAUCUGAACUCCAGCUAACAAGUUCAGAUUUACACCCCAAAGUCUACUUGAACACUGUUUUCUUAUGUGUUCUAAAAAAUAUUGUACACUGAAUCGGUGAAAUAACUAAUUCUGCCGCGUUUAUGUGCCAAAUCAUGCUGCAGACUGUAUAAUUUAGACUAUGAAGAGAUUAAUAUGCUGUGAGUAAAUAAACUUUGCAAGGUUGUAUCUUAUUAAUUUCCAUUUGUCUGAAUCAGAAGUUAGGGUAAUUGGCAAGCAUAGAACUCAGAUACCAGGAAUUUUACUCCAAGAAUGAUCAUUAGAAUACAACAUUGUGCAUAAUCCUAGUUUUGGUUGUUCUCUCUCCAAAGCACCGCAGGUAUAUCUUGCCAUAUAAUCAUAGGCUCCAUAGAGUUGGACUAGAUGACCUUUAAAGGUCCCUUCCAACUCCCCUGCUAUGAACAGGGACCCCUACAGCUAGAUCAGGUCGCUCAGAGUCUGGUCCAGCGGGGCCUUGAACGUCUCCAGGAACGGAGCAUCCAACACGUCUCUGGGCAACCUGUCGCCCUGUCUUCCAAUUACAAAGAGGACAGUGGAUGGGUGUUGUAAGGUAAUACAUGGUCUCAAGCUAUGCCAACACGUUUCUACCAGUCAGUCAUAAUAUUCUGUUCUCCACUUCUAAUUUUGCAGCAAUUUGCUACAAAAUGAACAUUUUCUAGUAGUCCAACAGAACAUUAGAUAAGAGGAUAUAUAUUUUUCUAAUAUUUAAUCUCUCUGGAGCUUCAUUUUUUUCAGCAAAUUUUUACAGGCAGCAUUUUUCUUUGAAGGGAAGGAGUUUAAAAAGCCAUUUUGCAUAGUCAAUUGGGCUUAGAGCUUUAGCACAACAAAAAUACAGUAAGAUACAGAGUGAUACUGAAAUGGAUUAAAAUGUAUCACUUAUAGGCAAGUGUGCACGCAUAUUUCCUUUUUAUUCUGUUUUUCUUUAUUCAUAGUUUCCCAAAAUUUCAUCUAGUACAUCAGAUUGAAUUUUUCCAGGUUCAGCUGGUGCCUGAAGGUGAAUGUCUAUUGAACAGUUCAGACAAGGAUUGAGAUACUUAAAUUGGAAAGCGGGAACAAAAGCAUGGGCUUUCCAAGAAAACAGAGAGAUCAAUAGAUACCUUUCAGGAGAAUUGCAUUCUGUAUUUAUAGCGAGGGUAUAAGGAAGAACAACACAGUCUAUUUCAAAUGGAAACACGUAAAUUCUUGUUCCAAGACAACAAUCUUACUUUCCCAAGAUUGGACAAAAUAACUCCUAUUGGCUCUCUUUUAUUUACAAAUCAACAGGUUAACAAAGAGACAAGAAAAGACCUUAUAGAAGCUUCUUCUGUGAGAGGCACAUUGUGCUAUUUCACUUCAUGAAGAAAGUGUUGGAAGAGUUUGCUGCUCCAACUGAGAGUCUGUUGCAGGCUUUAUUGAAUGCCUGUUGCUCACUUUGGACCUCCUUUCUUAGGUUAAAUCUGUGUGAAGCUUUCCAGGCAGAAGCUGCUUCAAAUUUCACAGUGAAUUCAUCUGUCAGUCCAAUACAAUGAACAUUUCAGUAUAACUGACAUACUGAUGGCUAAGGAAAGAAGACAACUAAGCUGGAAGAAUAAUAAACAGAGCGCUGUGAGAGAUGGAAGAGAAGAAAAACAUGGUGGGAAGAACUGAGGCAGUGAGGCUAAGUUGCAAAUGAGCAGACAAGUAAUAGCUUGGUGUUUCACCACAAUAUCAAAUGAACUUUCAGAACUUUUCAGAAGUCAAAUGCAUUUAAAAUAAUUAACGAGUUUGCUUUAAAAAGCAUAUGCAUCUUCUCUCUUGUCUGUUAAGCCAGAAUGAUACAAGGAGAGAUUGUGAAGAAAAUUAUAUCUACAGGCAUUGUUUUUUUGUUAUUGUUGUUAAAAAUAUUUCCACAUUAAGUGGCAAAAGAAAAAGAAAGAAAAAAAUGUAUUCAUGUUCUUUGAGCCUAACAAUUUCUGUGAAUCUUAAGAUCACUCUUGAGGACCAACUCUACAGAUCAUCAUCAAGAGGUAAAAAAAGAUCACACCUGGAAAGAUCUGAAAAAUUCUGUUUUCUCAUUUAGCAUGCCUCCCUGCUAAACAUACGUGUCAAUCCUUGCAUAGCACCCCGAGCAAUCCAGCUUUACUCAUAGUGUCUGCAUAGACGCCAAUACUGUUUGUGUUCAACACAAACAAAAUCAAAAACUUUAAGUUCACUUGGGGCUGAGAAGGACCUUAAUACCUUUGAAGCUAUUAGUGUGACUGAAAUGGAUGAGACCAAACAGGAUACACAGCUGUCACCAAAACCCACAAACUGAGCACUAUGUAGUGUUGCUGAUAUAAACCUCAUUUACAUGAGAGCUAACACAUGACUCUGAGAGAAGGCACAUGGACCACUGGGUUUGAGGUACGUGAUCAUGUCCUUAUCUUGCACUGCUCAGCAGACUGUAUUUUUGCACCCUGCUUCCAGAGGUUAGCAUAAGCAUGGAAAAUUCUUUUACACAUUUAAUUACACUCUUACAUCUAGAGGCCCUUUGCUCCGUUUAUCAGAGUCCAACUCACUGUCUAUAGAAUUAUUAUCAGACAAAUCCCUGUCUCUUCCUUCUAAGUAAAAGGUUUAAGAGAUUAGAAAGUAGAAGAGAAGCCAUAUACAGCUAAUGGAGGACAAGCCUCCAAAUGUUUGGAGGUUUAUUUCAGAGAUACAUAUCUACAUACUCUUAUUUUUUAACAGAAGAACAGAUACAGAGUCCAAUUUUGACUUGCUUGAACAGAGGACAGGAUAAGAAAGAACACUCUGAGAUAUUACCCUUCUGAAGUCUCUAGCUGAACAGAAGAAAUAAUGUGUUUCCCAGCAAUAAAGAGUAGUUAGGUACUGAAUGUCAAAAUUGUAAUGUUCUGAAGUUCCCGGCAGCUCUACCUGCUUGAACCCCUGCUGAACCUCCCCACGCUACCUCCUUGAGCCCCAGGCAAAGGCCCUGCUACAAUUGAUAUCUGUAGUCCUAAAUCCUUGUCAUACCCAGAAGGUGCUAGCAAUCUGCCAUUAAACUCCAGUAACACUAGGCCAACAUUUUACCCUCGGUUAUGCUCACAGAGCUUCCUUUAGUGCAAUUUGACCAACAUUAAAAAUGGAGAGCAAGAACAUCAUCAGCUAUCAACGCUAUGUUUGCCACACUGCAAGCCUUCUCAGCUAAAGCACCACCAGCCUCACUACUUUUAGUUGUUCCAAACUAGAUUCCAACAGCUAGUGGAGGUAUUGUACUAAUUAAGAUUUCGAGAGUAGAAAGCGAAAUCAUCCUGUCUGACCUCACACUUGGCAUAUUACAGUUCCUUGCUUUCCUACACGAGAUUGUAUUGAUAACAACCAAUUGCCAGUAGGGAUCUGAGGCAGCGAGGUAAAUAAAUAUAUAAAUGCCUCCAUAUGUGUUCUCCACUUCCUUAAGCAAAAAUAAUGAGUCAAAUGAGUGAAAGAUCUGCAGCUCUCUUUUGUAUAUAGUUGCUGUACAUAUACCAACAUGGAAGAAGCCUUCCACAGACUUCUGUCAUCACUCUGUGUGAAAAAGCUCUUUUAAAGGAACAGCUACCAAUAGGCAAGUGAGCCAGAAUACUUUUGUGCAGGAAUGUGCGUUUCUCACAUAGCUCAGGCUACCAAAAGGAAUACAAAUAUUUGCAGGAGUAGAAAAAGAUGCAGAAAGGACAGUGAAUCCUCUCACUGCUGAAACACCCUAAGUAGAAGCAGUGGAGACUCCAAGGAGAAGAAGAGUCUGGAGAAAUCAGCAACUUAAGAGUAACAGUGAAUGAGAAGAAGAGACUGGGAGAGGGAAGAAAAAGGCCUCUGGAUUUCCACCAGAAUUAAACUGGAGAAAUGGGAGCAGGAGGGGCACAGGAGAAGCAGGUUAAAGAGAUUUUGCUCCUAUCUUCGUCAGCAAAGAGGGAGUAGGAAACAAGACCCGGACAGCAUUUCUCCCAAGUCUGCUGCUCUAGGCAACUGUUUACUUUGCUUUUGCCCAAGAUAGCGUGAGACGUUAUAAAAUGAGUUUCCACAAUGCUCUGAGUCACCAGAAUAUGGAUGAGAUCUGUGGAUUCAAGCCACCUUUCAAGAUUAUGAAUCUCUUCUGAAUAUCCAUUAUGCCAAUGAUACAUAACAAAAUCACUGCUGUAAUGUGAUGCACAUGUCAACUUUAAGGAUACAGUCCCUGCUCAGAUGGCAUCAGCAUAGGGAAACGUCAGCAUGGUGGAUUACCAGAGCAAAUGCUUUAACAUGCAAUGUGAUGCAAUGUGUUUUAACAACAAUUGUUCCCUUAUGUUUGUUUGUGUCAGGUUUGACGUGACUAUCCGCCAGGACAAUGCUCAGGAUUCUGUGUGUUGCAUUGCAGAAACUGAUUAUGUGAUCAAAUGCUUAAAGCACAUAAAAUCACGCCCAAGAUUCGAUGAGAUAUAUAUGCCAGAAAAUUCAGUAGGUGCUUAAAGUAAUUGACGCUAACAGCUAGACCUGGGUUUUUCAAAGGAAUAAGCGUUUUUGUUUGUUUGUUUUUCCUAAUGCAAUAUAAUAUAAACUGCCUAGAAAUUCAGCCUUAGCAUAAUGUUCAGAUCAAAUGAAAUUCACCCGUUAAGAAAGAACAUACACAGGGUCCUCCCUGAAGUGGAAAAGACAGCCUCUGAGUAGAACAGAUACCCUGGGAGACUUCUUACCCUGUGCACAUGCCCAAAAAGACAGCUCUGAAUCUAACUGCAUUGUAGAUCUAAUGCUUGUAGGAUUUGGAGGCUCAACGCUGAGCUGUAGCUCUCAGCAGCCCUUUUUCCCCAGUCCGUGAAACUCAGAAUCCAGUGGAGACAAAAACCUCUAUAGAAAUACUGUAUAUGUAAAUGGACUUAGAAGAAAAAGGGAGGGGUACCUGCUCUUAAAUUAGUCAUAUUUAAAAUGUAUUCUCAGAACACACUGAACUAUCAAACAGUCCCCAAAGUGAAGAAAUGUGAUUCUCAUUCAAGACUUAAGAGCAAAAGGCAAAACAACUGUGUCCCUUGCUCCAAAGUCAUUAUCUCACAUUAAGACUUCAUCCUGUUCUCCCAGUUCAGAAUUUAGUCUGGUUCUAAUGGCUCACUAGACAGUUUUGCAAGAUCUUCAUGCUCUCAUAGGUAUUUAGGCACUGAAAUCAGUGAGAAGUGGUACCUGUACACUUUCAGAAAUCUGUCUUUAAUUUCAACAUCCCAUAAAUUUUUUUAACAAAAACAUCCUUCAUCUUUUCUGCUUCACAAGUGAGUUGUGAAGCUUAAUUACACAAUGAUUAUGAAGUCCAGCAAAUACAACAUAUAUUAAGAGUAGUUAAUGAGAUUUCUGUCACAAGCAGACUCCCUCUUGUAAAAUAUUACUCACAUGUUGCAGGAAAAAAAACUCAAGAGAAAAAAAUACAGAUGCAUUAAAUAUAAAACAAAUCUAGCUUGAUUACUUCCACAAAUAAUAUGUUAUACAACUCUAAAACAUCUGUCAGGACAGCAUAGAGAAUAGCAUAGGCUUUUCUGACCAGAAUGGAAUCCUGUCAGCACGGAAUUCUGUCAGCACAUCCAUGUACUCAUUUUUACCUGCAGUGCCCAUCCAAGACAGGGCCUCCAGACCCACACACGAUCUGCUUCCCAUGAGAUCUAGUGGCUUAAAUACCUUCAAAGACCAGACAUGAAGUUCUGUUCCUUCAAAUCACAGAAUCAUGGAAUCAUAAAAUGGCUUGGGUUGGAAGGGACACCCAAGGAUCAUCAAGUUCCAAUCCCUCUGCUGCAGGCAGGGCCACCAACCUGUGGUGGUUGUAAAUAUUUCCCAAAAAGAUGCCAGCAUACUAACCAAUUACCACAUUUAACAGCACAGUGGAAGAUGGCUAGACAACUAUGAGCAGACAGACGAUCGUACAGAAGGCAUUGCUUGCAUACUUAGUGAUUUCUCAGGCCAUAACAAAGCAUACAGCCUAACUAGGGUAGGAGGACUCAAAAGAGGAAGACCAUUCCUUAAUAAUACAGAGCUCUUUGGCACAUUUCUUUUCUGUGAACAAACAGUGUAGCUGUUAAAAUACAUUUCCUGUUAGCAAUUAUGGCUCAGAGCUCACAGACGCUUUUACAGAACUUGGACAGGAGUGAUUUUCAGUACAUAGUGUCUCUAACAGCAAGUUAUAUUAAUAUUCACCAAAGGAAAACCUGUUUGUUGACCCAAAGUGUGACUGCUUACAAUUCUCUUCUUGUGAAAUUAUUUAGGUCCUGUGGGACAACUGUACUGAGCUUUUGACGCAAAUAUUAAAAUUCUAUUUAAAUGUACAAUGUUUUAAUGCAAAUUUUUACCAUAAAACCAAAUGCUCCAUUCAGUUAAAUUAAUAGAAUUACAAAAAGAUGUAAUGAUAGCAAUUAAGUCUUGAAAAUGCAAAUUUUAUAGUCAAGGACAAUUACCUCAUUUAUAGUAUCCUGGAAUGAUGCCAGAUGAAGGUAAUUUAGAUCUCCCUAGCUCACAGUUAUAUCAUGAAGGAUAUCUUAAUUUCAUUAGUACAACAAAGAUGGGUGAGAACUUGGACAAUAUGAAAAAAAAAAGGGAGGGAGAGAUGGGAGAGAAAAUUUGACCUUUCUCAUUUCACCGCAACUAGAAUACAUAGAUCUUACUAAAGGAUUAGUAAUAUUUCUUUCUAUUCCUAUCUCUGGGGAAAAAAAGGGGGGGGGGGGGGGCACUUUUUUCUUUUCUUUUUUUUUAUUAGCAGCAAUGGAACAUUAGUAUGAAAAAGGUCAACUCCCUUCAGAUUCUUAGAGCCACUAUGCCCACAUCACAACAGUUAUGGACCAUUCCUUCUUUCAGUUUUAAGGAUGAAUACAGCAUUGGCUCUUGGCUGACAGAGUAUCAAGCUAUGGCCUAGGGACACAUGGUUUUGACUCCAAUAUGAUUUAAAAUGUUCUUGAAAAAUUCUUCUUGCUCUUACAAAUACAGCCCCACUUCAUCCAAAGAGGCAAGUCAAAAAUCAUCAGUUUCUCAUUAGCAAGCAAAGAGUGAUCAAGUAGACAAAGAAUACAGAUUGAUAUGCCAUAGAUUCAGUAGUCUCCUUUGAAGGAAAAACAAAACCAAACUCUCAUACAAGUUCUUUAGCACAUUAUCAAGUUCAAAUAGGAGUUUGCAAUACUGCAGAUAUCCCUCUUCCUUUCCUUUCUCUUUGCUGUAGUAGCUACCCUUGACCCUUGAAGAGAUUUCAAAAAAAAAGCAUAUUAAAUAAGGUGCACCAUAAAGUUUAAUUUUAAAACUUUACAACUCUCAAUUUUUCUUCCUGGCCUGUUGUAGCCACUGCAAAGAAACUCAACUUCCAGAAAAAUAGCUGCAUCCACCUAAAAUCUUCUUACAUCAAAUUCCCUUACCAAACCUAACAUGUAGGCUCUGGAGAGAGCGGAAACCUCCAAGGACAGAGUAGCAAACUUCACCUCUCUCCUUAUCUUGAACACAACUAACAAAGAUAACAUGAAAAAGCCUUCCCAAGAGUAGAAAUAUCUGCUUACCGUCAGCAUUUGGUGGUUUUGCUGUAGAUGGUGCAUGCUGAAGCCAUCCCAACCUCCUGCUGACAAACCUUUCCUUAACACCCUGAGAUAGGCAGGUUCUAGAGGAUCGGCUUUAUAACUUCGAACAGCACCACAUAGCGACAGGAAUGCAGCAUUAGAAACCCCCAACACUCCUCAGAAAGGGUUUCUUCCAUCCAGUUAUUCUGUUUUAUGAAAAACAAGCCUUUUCUGAAGGAAAAAGUACCUUAAUUUUUCAUGUCAACGAUGCUAUCAGUCACCUCUGCCGCUUGAAAACAAUGGAUGACACUCUGGCUCAAGGAAAGCCACCUGCUUCCUUUGGGGUUAAGACGUCUUUUGGUGAAUUUCAUCUCCUAUCAAGCAAUAGCAAAAUUAGAGCUUGUACCACUAUUGCCUUCGUUCCGUGCUUUUGAUGCUUAUAAUCCCAUUACACCUGACAACUUAACCUGAGCUUGUUAUUCAUAGACAUGUAUGGUCUGAUGAAACAUUCCCAACUCCUGAAAAAUCUUUUUGUGUGUUGUUGGGAGAUUUGGCCUAAUAAGAAGUGCUUGAGUGGGUGUAGACUGGGUAUGUUUGUGCCAUAUUAUACAAUAUGGCUUAAAUUUCCAUGGCAUUUUAUUGGAAAGUGUGAACCUGACAAGCUAAUAGUUUGUGAAUCUGUUGAGUCUCUGCUGUUGCAUGGAGAAACGUUUUGUCUAGGCUAUUCCCAGUAUGCUUCAAUUGUAAAAAAAACAGGCUGCGAUCAUAACACAUCUUCAUGUAAAUCAAAGUAAAUUUCUGCAGGACAAUAUUUACCACUGUUAUGUACCGCAGAUCUCCCAAUUCCUCAUUUGACCUAACAGUCGGAAUGAUCUCAGGCCAGCAAUAAGCUGAAUACUGGUUGCUAAGUAAUAUUUAAUUUAAGCAUGAUGUUGUGGUCAACAAAAUGAAUUAGCAUUUUCUGCAUUAAUGAAGAUCCAGGCCUAAAAUCAAAUGAUGAUGUCAAAAAAUUAUGGAAAAUAUUAUUGAUCUAAUUCUUCCUUUUAUUACACUGACAGAGAAACAUGCUUCUUGGAAAUGUUACAUGUGAAGGAAGAAUUUUUCCUAUUGCAUCUUCUUUCAAGAGAUUCAGUUUUCUACUCAGGACUCCAAGAGAGUAAUUUACAUUUGUGAUCACCCAGCCAAUUCAAGGCAACUGUGGAAAGAAACACUAGUAAGAAUUCAUUUUGUUGAUCUUAUCAUAAAUGUGAGAGAGAUUUAACUUUAUCCUAAAUUCCACUAAAACCUAGAAUGCAAUAAAGAAAUAAUCAUACAUGAAUUUGAGUCAGUACUGUUCCUCAUCAUUAGGCCACCUGACAAGCUAGAAAGCAACUUCGCUAGUGCAUAUUCAUUCCAAAUUAAUACAGUAAUUCUGAAAACUGUUUCUUUUUUCCCCUACUUUUAUGCAUUUAUUGCUUUAUUUCUCUAUUGCUAUUUCCAGUCCAUAAUGCAAUGCAGCUUGUGGAAUGUAAUCCCCUUUCUUCUCCUGACCAAACUCCACUCUGAAUGCUGCAUGGAUGGGAUCCUUUCUUUUCUGUUUUUUUAAUGUUUUUCUUCUCACUUUACAUAUUCUCAAAAAUGAGAUGAAUUUCUGAUUAUUUUCCAUUUUCCCCACUUUAUGAAUAUUAGAGUGGUUUUCUUUUGCAAUGUGGCUUGGCCUGCAUUUCAAAGUCCACAUUUUGAGUGGUUCCCUGUGAUUUUUGGACACUUGGCAUUUUCUGGGUCCAACUCAGAGAACUGUUUGAUUUUCAAAUAUUCAGAGCAUUCUCAAAGCCUGUUAAGUACAGACAAUACUUUCAGUGUUCUUUAGGUCCUUUAGGCUUAUUUUUUCAUUAACCCAAAACUGAGGUAAAAAAAAUCCUGUGUUCUAUGAAUUCCACAGUGUUGUGCAGAGAAGGGCAGUGGGAAAACUGAGUUAAAUGCAGGAUUCAAGUUUUUCUGACUCUUGCACAACUUGUUGUCUAAUGGACCCCAUAGGCUCUCAGCAAUACCAGCUGUCUCUAAAAUUCAACCAACAGUGGAAAUGACUACCGCUGUUCUGUCCAUGGAAAGCAUGAAAAGGUUAUUUAAAAAAAAAAAAAAAAGAGUGGCUUGCUUAGAUAUCACACAAAUGUAUUUGCUUUUUUUUUACUUAGUGAAAAGGCUGUAUUAUAAAAGUAAACUUUUCAAAACAGAAAAAGUAGGUAUCAAAUACAGGAAAGAAACAAAAAGACUAUAAAGUAAUCUUUACAAAAGCAGAUUGCACUGACACUGUCUUGCUCACAGUAACACACAAAGUAAUUUCAUAAAACCCAGCUUUUAUCUUGUUCUAAUAAAACAUCAAGCUAGCAACAUUAUGGUGAGGGCUUUCAUUUUCUUUUUGAUAUAGAUUCUGAUUGGAAGUAUUAGCUGAUGCAGCAGGAUAAAUAAAGAAAUGCCUAGAUUGUUAUGGUUCCC